UUGCAAAACCUAAAUUAAAUGAAUACUAAGUUUUUGGAAUGUUUAUGCUCUGGAAGUGAGAAACAAAAGAUAUCUGUUGUGUAGAAACAAAAAGAGAAACAAAGAAAAAAGUGAUUUUCCUCUGGGGCCUGGCAGUAGGGUUUCUGAUCAUUCCUCCUCAGAUUGAUGAGCCUCCAUUCAUUUUGAAAUGAGGCAUUUGAACCUUUCACCUGUUUUACAGUAUGUGUAUGACUGUGUAAAUGAAAUUUAAACUUCUUGCAAAGUUGGGGUAACUUUUCCCUACAUCCUUUUCUUUUGACAUGUUCUGAUUCUUAUUUUCUCCUGAAUGUCUCCCUCAUCCUGUAUUUUAUAGAACUACUUCCCUAGUAAGCAAGACAUCUUGCUGGCCAGGAAGGCCACCAAGGGGAUUGUGGAACAUUACUUCAUUAUUUUUAAAAAAUCCCUUUUAAGAUGGUGGUGUGAGUAGCCGCUGGUCUCAGUGCCUAAAUUAGUUCCAGUGCUUUGAUGGGAACAUGUCAAUCCUGUUCAUGGUGUCCUCUUGUGAAAACAAACAGGCACACGUGGCGGACAGGCACAGCAACUAGUGAAGGGAGUCAUUGAACAUCUUUGAGACCAUCCUCAACAAGUUCUUCUUCAAUGUCUCCAUAAUUUUUUUCCUCAAGAAGAUGGACCUCCUAGUAGAGAAUGUGAAGAUGGGCAGCCUCAGGAAACACUUCCUGAAUUUCAAUGGUGACCCUCCUCAACUGGAGGACAUCCAGCUAUGCCUGGUCCAAUGUUUUGACAGAAGGAGGUGAAACCACAGCAAGCUGCUGAUCCCCAUUUCACUUCCGCCAUAGACACCGAGAACAUCCACUUCAUGUUCCAUGCUGUGAAGAACUCGAUCCUGCAGGAGAACCUAAGGGACGUAAUGAUACUUUGAGAGAGGAAGCCCCCUCAUGCCUUUUUGAGGCUGCCUGCAUGGCUAUUAGUGCUUGUGGCCUGUGUGGUUCUGCAGGGCUUCUUGGACACAUCUGUAUUACACCUGGGUCAAGAAAGCUGGACUCCAGCCCAGCCAUGAGCUCUAGGCAAGAGGACAUGGGAACUCCAUGUGAGCUUCUGAUUCUGGGGACUGGUGAAAUACUGAAAUCCCCGUGCUCACCACUUUGGUGUUAAUCUGCAGUACCAACAAAACAGCCUCUUUUUUUUUUUUUUUACAGAAACUCUAUUCCUUUCCAGGCACAGUUUAAUCAAGAAUUGUGUGCUCAGCCACCUUCCCUC
Molecule: long non-coding RNA, 1257 nt
Filed under: Marmota monax (woodchuck)
Lineage: Eukaryota; Metazoa; Chordata; Mammalia; Rodentia; Sciuridae
Source: RNAcentral